Molecule: ribosomal RNA, 1155 nt
Filed under: Lepocinclis fusca
Lineage: Eukaryota; Euglenozoa; Euglenophyceae; Euglenales; Phacaceae
Description: partial large subunit ribosomal RNA
Rfam family: Eukaryotic large subunit ribosomal RNA
Source: RNAcentral
AGCUGGCUGGUUCCAUGAGGUGACUUCUGCCCAGUGCUCUGAUUGUCAUGGCAAAGAGAUUUCGCCAAGCGCGGGUAAACGGCGGGAGUAACUAUGACUCUCUUAAGGUAGCCAAAUGCCUCGUCAACCAAUUAUUGACGCGCAUGAAUGGAUCAACGAGAUUCCUGCUGUCCCUAGGUGCUGUCCGGUGAACCAACAGCCAAGGGAACGGGCUUGGGCGUGUCAGCGGGGAAAGAAGACCCUGUUGAGUUUGACUCUAGUUUGAUGCUGUGCAACGACAUGUGGGGUGUAGCAUAGGUGGGAGGCGAGUGCCAUCCUCCAUCGUCACCAGUGGUGCUGUGUGGUGUGUGGUGCCCUGCCAUCCCCAGCUCAUGGCUGAUGCCAAAUGCCUCGUCAACCAAGAAGGUGCCCUGGGGUGCCUGGUGCAUUGAUGGAGCCUCCGUUGUUGUCUCAUCACACGAUGUGUGCCUGUGUGCUGCCACGAAAGAUGGCUGGGGAAGAGGUGGAAAGGGAGCCCCACCACAAGGAUGGUGCGAACCAGCAGUGAAAUACCACUACCUUCACCGUCGUUUUACUCAUCGAGUGGCUUGGGAACAGCGGCCAUUUGGACAUCGGCCCCGGCAUGUGUGCACCCCCAGGACCUUCCUGGUGCUGUGUGUGCCUUGUGGGGGUCGCCGGCCUCAUCCUGCUUCGUGUGUCAAGUGUGGGCGUCCCCACACCGUCCUCGUGGCGGCCUCUGGGGGUUCUACCGUCCGCAUGACCCUGGGGGUCUGGUGAAGCCCCUUCCGUCAGUUCGGAGCCUCGGGACAAUGAUCAGUUGGGGAGUUUGGCUGGGGCGGCACGCCUGUUACAGGACAACGCAGGCGUCCUGAAGCAUUGCUCAGAUGGAACAGAAAUCUUGCAUGGAGGAGCAGGCCAAAGGUGCUGCUGAUGCGGCGACUUCCAGUACAAGUCCAGAACGUGCAAGCGUGGCCUUGCGAUCCUUUGGUCAAGUGUGCGGGUUCGGGAUAUUGAAGCCAGAGGUGUCAGAAAAAUUACCACAGGGAUAACUGGCUUGUGGCUGCCAAGCGUUCAAAGCGACGUCGCUUUUUGAUCCUUCGAUGUCGGCUCUUCCUAGCUUCCCACCCGCAGCCGAGUGGAAGAGUUGGAUUGUUC